RNAcentral lists this unclassified non-coding RNA (438 nucleotides) under rhizosphere metagenome. RNAcentral describes it as "partial ribosomal RNA internal transcribed spacer region". The record is from RNAcentral.
GUAUGUGAACCUGCGGAAGGAUCAUUAACACGUUCCAAACCUAAUCAACCAACCUGUGAACUUGUAUCUGCCUGCUCGGAGAGAUGAGCUGCAUGCAGCUUGUCUUUCUCAGGCCCACUAUAUAAAUUCCUAUGGGGCUUAUCUUGCUUAUCCAAUUCAUCAUUCGCUUGAUUGAUUAAUUGAUAGGUACAGAUCAGUUCUCCCCCUAGUGAUUUAUACUAUAUUUUUUUCACGCCCUAGUACUCUUUCUUAGGAAUGAGGACUGCUGUUAAUCAAUAUCUACUUUUUGCUCUUUACAUAGAUUUUAAGUGUCGAUCAGCGGAUGUAUAUACUGUCUCUCUUGGACGUGUAUAUAGAUUAGCCCGACUGCUAUGUGAGUAGUAAUCAUUAUAUCAAUAAAUAAGAGAACAACUCUUAGCAAUGGAUAUCUUGGUUCUC